GGCGGUGUAAGGUUUGGGGCAUAAUGCCUUAGUAUGGCAUUCAAGCGGUCAAGAGUUCAAUUCUCUUCAGCUCCACCA
Molecule: transfer RNA, 78 nt
Filed under: bioreactor metagenome
Description: tRNA-Thr
Source: RNAcentral